RNAcentral lists this unclassified non-coding RNA (145 nucleotides) under uncultured Westerdykella. Its description in RNAcentral is "sequence contains ITS1". The record is from RNAcentral. Lineage: Eukaryota; Fungi; Ascomycota; Dothideomycetes; Pleosporales; Sporormiaceae.
UCGUGGAGCUCCGGCUCCGUCGAGGGAGAACCCUUGCCUUUUCGAGCACCUGUUUGUUUCCUCGGCAGGCCCGCCUGCCAAUGGGGACCCCUUAAACUCUUGCAACAACCUGUACAAAAUCGUCUGAACAAAACAAUUUAAAUCA